Molecule: ribosomal RNA, 305 nt
Filed under: uncultured bacterium
Lineage: Bacteria
Description: bacterial SSU rRNA
Rfam family: Bacterial small subunit ribosomal RNA
Source: RNAcentral
CCUACGGGACGCAGCAGUGGGGAAUAUUGCACAAUGGGGGAAACCCUGAUGCAGCGACGCCGCGUGAGUGAAGAAGUAUUUCGGUAUGUAAAGCUCUAUCAGCAGGGAAGAUAAUGACGGUACCUGACUAAGAAGCCCCGGCUAACUACGUGCCAGCAGCCGCGGUAAUACGUAGGGGGCAAGCGUUAUCCGGAUUCACUGGGUGUAAAGGGAGCGUAGACGGUAUGGCAAGUCUGAAGUGAAAGCCCAGGGCUUAACCCUGGGACUGCUUUGGAAACUGUUAGACUAGAGGGCUGGAGGGGGAA